CACCUAUUAGUUUAGUUAGUUAGAGCAUUGUGUUACUAAUGCAAAAAUCACAAGUUCUAGACUUGUAUGGGCCG
Non-coding RNA from Picea glauca (white spruce), 74 nucleotides. The record is from Rfam. Lineage: Eukaryota; Viridiplantae; Streptophyta; Pinopsida; Pinales; Pinaceae.